GAUGAAGAACGUAGCGAAAUGCGAUACGUAAUGUGAAUUGCAGAAUUCAGUGAAUCAUCGAAUCUUUGAACGCAUAUUGCGCUCUCUGGUAUUCCGGAGAGCAUGCUUGUUUGAGUAUCAGUAAACACCUCAACUCCCUUUUCUUUUUUGAAAUUGGAGCUGGACUUGAGUGAUCCCAACGCUUUCUUCCAAGAAAGUGGCGGGUUGCUUGCAAUGCAGGUGCAGCUGAACUUUUCUCUGAGCUAUAAGCAUAUCUAUUUAGUCUGCCUAAAAAACAGAUUAUUACCUUUGCUGCAGCUAACAUAAAGGAGACUAGUUCUUGUGCUGACUGAUGCAGGAUUCACAGAGACAGCUUCGGCUGACUUUGUAAACUCGAUCUCAAAUCAAGUAAGACUACCCGCUGAACUUAAGCAUAUCAAUAAGCGGAGGA
RNAcentral lists this unclassified non-coding RNA (430 nucleotides) under soil metagenome. Its description in RNAcentral is "partial contains 5.8S ribosomal RNA, internal transcribed spacer 2, and large subunit ribosomal RNA". The stretch from base 1 to 120 matches the Rfam family "5.8S ribosomal RNA", at positions 35 to 154 of the family's 154-position model. The record is from RNAcentral.